AUGAACGCUGGCGGCGUGCCUAAUACAUGCAAGUCGAGCGAACAGACGAGGAGCUUGCUCCUCUGACGUUAGCGGCGGACGGGUGAGUAACACGUGGAUAACCUACCUAUAAGACUGGGAUAACUUCGGGAAACCGGAGCUAAUACCGGAUAAUAUAUUGAACCGCAUGGUUCAAUAGUGAAAGACGGUUUUGCUGUCACUUAUAGAUGGAUCCGCGCCGCAUUAGCUAGUUGGUAAGGUAACGGCUUACCAAGGCAACGAUGCGUAGCCGACCUGAGAGGGUGCUCGGCCACACUGGAACUGAGACACGGUCCAGACUCCUACGAGAGGCAGCAGUAGGGAAUCUUCCGCAAUGGGCGAAAGCCUGACGGAGCAACGCCGCGUGAGUGAUGAAGGUCUUCGGAUCGUAAAACUCUGUUAUUAGGGAAGAACAAAUGUGUAAGUAACUAUGCACGUCUUGACGGUACCUAAUCAGAAAGCCACGGCUAACUACGUG
RNAcentral lists this ribosomal RNA (496 nucleotides) under uncultured bacterium. RNAcentral describes it as "partial 16S ribosomal RNA". It matches the Rfam family "Bacterial small subunit ribosomal RNA", at positions 29 to 507 of the family's 1533-position model. The record is from RNAcentral.